AUGGAGCCUAAAAAUGUUCACUCGUCUCCGCGCGCCCCUGUCUCGGCUCUUUGCCACUGGCACAUGCAACAUGGCGAGAAGAGAGGAGUACCAUAUAACUGGAAUUACCGAUGCAAGUCGAAGAGGGAUUGGCCGGUGCUGCCGGCUGGCGUCAAGUUCGAUCCCACGGAUCAGGAGCUGAUCGAGCACCUUGAGGCCAAAAGUGGCCUAAGGAAGCAUAUCUUCCAGCGCAAUUCCAGGGUGUUCAAAAGGGGCACGUGGACGCGUUGCAAGAUACAGUCGGAGUGUGGCAUGCACGCGAUGUGGCACAAGACCGGCAGUACCUUGCCGGUGAUGGUCAACGGCCGGCAGACGGGCAGCACAAAGGUUCUGGUGCUACACACCAACAAGAACUUCGACCAGCAGAGGACCAACUGGGUGAUGCACCAGUACCACCUCGAGGACCUGGAGCAAGAGAAGGAGCGGGAGCUGGUCCUCUCCAAGAUUUUGUACCAGACAAACACUAGGGCCAGGAGUAAAAAGAUCAUAAGUUAG
RNAcentral lists this ribosomal RNA (534 nucleotides) under Triticum aestivum (bread wheat). RNAcentral's name for it is "partial small subunit ribosomal RNA". Lineage: Eukaryota; Viridiplantae; Streptophyta; Magnoliopsida; Poales; Poaceae. The record is from RNAcentral.